UGAAGUGUUUGAAGAAAGGUCUUGUGUCAUGGGUAAGAAAACUUUGGGCAACAAAGGGCGUGAGAGGGAGAAUGGGAUUGUGACCGAGGGCGAAGUCGAUUUUAAAGAGGAGGAAAAGAAGAGGGAUGUUGAUUUAAGGGCCAGUGAAAAUGAAGUUGAAAUGAAGGAUUAUGUUGAUGAGAAUGAGAGGAAGAUAAAUGAGGUUGGUGGUAAUGAUUUUGAAUUUGGUGAUAGUCGAAAUGGGGUUAUUGUAGAGGGUCAUGUGGAUACGAACAAUACUGGAAGUGAAAAGGAGAG
This 297-nucleotide long non-coding RNA is filed under the name Citrus sinensis (sweet orange). RNAcentral describes it as "long non-coding RNA (CSIN_LNC003634)". The record is from RNAcentral. Lineage: Eukaryota; Viridiplantae; Streptophyta; Magnoliopsida; Sapindales; Rutaceae.